This is a long non-coding RNA of Cercocebus atys (sooty mangabey), 1966 nucleotides long. RefSeq lists it as uncharacterized. The transcript has 2 exons. Lineage: Eukaryota; Metazoa; Chordata; Mammalia; Primates; Cercopithecidae. The record is from RefSeq and is a predicted model, not a curated record.
AUGGCACCCAGCCUCUUGCAAUUUCUAAGCAUUCACUUUUCCUCCUUUUCCAAGUAUCCCCAACAUGAGGCAUUUCAUGACUAUCAGAAACCAAAUUCAAGAGAGCAGUACUGUCCAAUGGAAAUACAGUCACAAAUAAAAUUUUAAAUUUUCUGUAGGUACAUUUAAUAUGUCAAACAACAACAACAACAACAAAAAACAGGUGAAAUUAAUCUCACUGAUACAUUUAAAUUCUAUCAUUUCAAAAUGUAAUUGAUAUAAAAAUGUUUUUUAUGUAAGUCUUUGAAAUUCAGUAUGGAUUUUACACUUAGAGUACAUCUUAUUUCAUAUUUUAGGUGUUCAUUAGUCACAUAAGCUAAUGGCUACUAUAUUGGACAACAUAAUUCUAGAGGUUUUAGAUAAGAAGAUAUAUAUAAAAGGAGAUCUAGGUACUUGAGAAUUUCGUAAAAGAGAAAUUAGUUUAGUAAGAAUUACUCUAGCACAAUUGUAGGUCCACUCUUAAUAGUAAUCUUUUAAAUUUGCAGACCAAAUAGAAAUUCUCCUUAAAGCUCCUAAUUUUAAAAAAUUAUUUUGUAGGGUGCUUCUUUCUUCCCUUUCUAUUGGUUUUCCCCAGACAAGACUAUGUGUGGAUAUGUACUAUAAAACAUGUGUGCAUGGAAAAUUGUAGGGCCAGAUGCUUCCGGAUUAAGAGAACAUGACCAGAUCUGGAGAAGGAGCAGCUGGGAGGAGGAGCCUGACUCUCUUAGUAAAACUAGUUCCUUUGCUUUCCCAUGUGGUUGGCCUCAGCCUUGUCUUUUAAGUUAAGUGAUGGGGCUAAAAAAACUAAUGAGCCCCAGGAAGACCUGGGUUCCAGUCCCUGAUCUGCCACUUCAUUGCCUCACAACCUUGGGGAAGUCAUUUAUCCUCUCUGAGCCUCAGUUUCCUCAUUUGCAAAUUUCAAAUAACCAUCCUUCUGUAACUGACAAGGUUGUUGUAAGACUAUAAAGCACAUGUUAUUGUAUUUGUAUCUACAUGAGGAAUAAUUGUUAUUGAGCUGCAUCAUAUGAAACGUCAAUUUUUGAAAGUCAAAAACAGUCCAAUGUUGGUAAUUUUAAAUCAUUUGCUACUAUUCCAAGUAAAAGGAUACCCUGCAGAUGGUGCUUAUGCCAGAGGAGAGAAUAUUAUCCAUGGGGCAAUGGAAAGCUUUUGAAUGAGUUGUAUAAAUUGUUACAGAACUAUUAUAUAGAGAAAGAAUAGGCUUAAGUAUUAUCUUAGACACGCACAAACAUUCCCGUGAUGGCUGAACGUUACCGUUUUAGUUGGAUGCUUAGUUUUGCACAAUUGUAGAGAAAAUCAACAAAAUACUUUGUCACCUGGUUUUACGUUCUGGAGUAGCCUUGAUGAGAACCUAGAGCAGUGGUUCUUGACCUUGUCUGUAAGUUAGGAAUCACUGGGAAGCUUUAAAAAAAACCUUAACCCCCCAUAUCCAGAUCAAUUAGAUGACCAUUUCUGGGUGUUAGGGGGCUGAACUGCACCCUCUCGAAAUUCAUACACUGAUGUCCUGGUCCCCUGUACUUCAACAUACCAACCCAAACCUGCCAGCACUUUAAUCUUGGACUUCAGCCUCUAGAACUGCGAGAAAAUAAAUUUCUGAUUUUUAAGCCACCUAUUCUGUGGUAUUUUGUUAUGGUAUUCCUAGCAAAUUAAUACAGAUUUUCAGGAUGGGAUGUGACAUCAGGAAUUUUUCAGGCAUCCCAUGUGAUUUUAAGGGGCAGCCAAGAUUGAGAACCACGAGCCUAGAGGAAGAGAAAGAGGCCCAGGGUCAAGAUGAGUGAACAUGGGGAAAAACUAUGAAUGCUGUCAGUUACUUUCUGAAUACUGGUUAUCAUUAUCUUUCAUCCCUAGUGUGGCACCAUCAGUCACAAAAUCUCUUAAAGUUUCCACUUACAUCUGGUGACAGUAUGCAGUUAGCUAGUGUACCACCCAG